CUACGGAGGGUGCAAGCGUUAAUCGGAAUUACUGGGCGUAAAGCGUACGUAGGCGGUUCGUUAAGUUAGAUGUGAAAGCCCCGGGCUUAACCUGGGAACUGCAUUUAAAACUGGCGAACUAGAGUUGAGUAGAGGGGAGUGGAAUUUCAGGUGUAGCGGUGAAAUGCGUAGAGAUCUGAAGGAACACCAGUGGCGAAGGCGGCUCCCUGGACUCAAACUGACGCUGAGGUACGAAAGCGUGGGUAGCAAACGGGAGUAGAUACCCGUGUAGUCC
Molecule: ribosomal RNA, 274 nt
Filed under: uncultured bacterium
Lineage: Bacteria
Description: partial 16S ribosomal RNA
Rfam family: Bacterial small subunit ribosomal RNA
Source: RNAcentral